RNAcentral lists this unclassified non-coding RNA (995 nucleotides) under Leishmania donovani. RNAcentral's name for it is "gene:LdHU3.21.2450(CDS-product:Protein_of_unknown _function_DUF607_putative)". The record is from RNAcentral. Lineage: Eukaryota; Euglenozoa; Kinetoplastea; Trypanosomatida; Trypanosomatidae.
UACUCAUUCUCUUCGAUGUAGUGCGUCCGCCUGGACGCGAUGGUGACCGAGACCUUUUUGCGCAAGGCUUUGUUUGCGCGCUGUGCGAUUGACCUCUGCGGCAAAAAAAUACUUCCGAAGGAUGCCUUUGUCGCUCUUUUGACACAAGGGAAGCUGACCCCAUCACAGUAUCAGAUGACAGACGCGGAGGCGGUGAAGUACAUAGACACUCUCAAACGCGCGAAGAUGAUUGUGGAGGUGGAUGAUUACGUGUACACUGACGUCAAGGCUGUCGUCGACGCGGUGCAUCUGAAAAGCGGGCUCCCCCUUGUACCGGCAACAAGCAAAACAUUCGAGAAUUUGUACCACGCGUUGUCUGAAUCUCUUGCCGCGUUUCAUAGGCAAAGUUUACCGGCGGCGGAGAGGGCGGUGCGCCGCCAGAGAGAGUUCUGGGCGUUUACAGCACUCGGCAGCGGUACUCAGAUGCUAGUGCUGGCGUACUUGACGUUCCAGGUGUACGGGUGGGAUGUGAUGGAGCCAGUCACCUUUUUUGUUACGACUGCGACGGCGCUGUGCUCAUACGCCUACUUUCUCUACUUUCGCGCUGAGCACUCGUACGAAAGCGUCGACGAUAGUUUCCUGCCACACCUCCUCAUGCGAGAACUUGGCGUACUGCGCGUGGACGCCGACAAGGCGAUACGUGAUAUGAAGGCCAUGCAGGAGUUGCAGGCUGCCGUUUCGCUCGACGAUGAGCGCGUUUCAAAGCUGGUCGAGGCAGCUGCCAAGAAAAAGAGCACUAGCGCAUGCCACUCCUGAGCCCUGCAUGGUUGGAAAUAUGUGUGGGUGCGUAGUUGUUUAUGGACUUUGCAAGCCUCGCGUUCGUUUGAGCGGGCCCCUGCACAGUGGUGAUUGCAGGUCAAAAAGAAACACGCCAAAUGACACAGUAGAAAAGUACCUGAAAGCUCUCAGUGGCUGCAGCUGGAAAAAUGCGUCCAGGACUUCAUUCAGGAUUUGGC